UACGAACUGUCCUAACGUUGUUCGGAAUCACUGGGCUUAAAGGGCGCGUAGGCGGUCCGACAAGUCGGGGGUGAAAUCCUGCAGCUUAACUGCAGAAGUGCCUUCGAUACUGUCGGUCUUGAGGGAGAUAGGGGUGUGCGGAACUCACAGUGGAGCGGUGAAAUGCGUUGAUAUUGUGAGGAACGCCGGAGGCGAAAGCGGCGCACUGGAUCUCUUCUGACGCUGAGGCGCGAAAGCUAGGGGAGCAAACGGG
Molecule: ribosomal RNA, 253 nt
Filed under: uncultured bacterium
Lineage: Bacteria
Description: partial 16S ribosomal RNA
Rfam family: Bacterial small subunit ribosomal RNA
Source: RNAcentral